Molecule: ribosomal RNA, 460 nt
Filed under: uncultured bacterium
Lineage: Bacteria
Description: partial 16S ribosomal RNA
Rfam family: Bacterial small subunit ribosomal RNA
Source: RNAcentral
CCUACGGGUGGCAGCAGUGAGGAAUAUUGGUCAAUGGCCGGAAGGCUGAACCAGCCAUGCCGCGUGAAGGUCAGUGCCCUAUGGGCGUUAAACUUCUUUUGUGCGGGAGCAAUAAUGGUCACGUGUGGCCAGACGAGAGUACCGUACGAAUAAGCAUCGGCUAACUCCGUGCCAGCAGCCGCGGUAAUAAGGGGGAUGCAAGCGUUACCCGGAUUUAUUGGGUUUAAAGGGUGCGUAGGGUGUGAGGUAAGUCAGCGGGGAAAUGCCCCCGCUCACCGGGGUGAAGUGCCUUUGAUACUGGCUGGCUGGAGUGCGAAUGCCGUAGGAGGAAUGUGUGGUGUAGCGGUGAAAUGCGUAGAUAUCAGGAAGAACACCGGUGGCGAAGGCGGCCUGCUGGACUGCAACUGACGUUGAGGCCCGAAAGCGUGGGGAGCGAACAGGAUUAGAUACCCGUGUAGUC